Molecule: ribosomal RNA, 484 nt
Filed under: uncultured bacterium
Lineage: Bacteria
Description: partial 16S ribosomal RNA
Rfam family: Bacterial small subunit ribosomal RNA
Source: RNAcentral
AGUGAACGCUGGCGGCAGGCCUAACACAUGCAAGUCGAGCGGAUGAAGGGAGCUUGCUCCUGGAUUCAGCGGCGGACGGGUGAGUAAUGCCUAGGAAUCUGCCUGGUUGUGGGGGAUAACGUCCGGACACGGGCGCUAAUACCGCAUACGUCCUGAGGGAGAAAGUGGGGGAUCUUCGGACCUUACGCUAUCAGAUGAGCCUAGGUCGGAUUAGCUAGUUGGUGGGGUAAAGGCCUACCAAGGCGACGAUCCGUAACUGGUCUGAGAGGAUGAUCAGUCACACUGGAACUGAGACACGGUCCAGACUCCUACGGGAGGCAGCAGUGGGGAAUAUUGGACAAUGGGCGAAAGCCUGAUCCAGCCAUGCCGCGUGUGUGAAGAAGGUCUUCGGAUUGUAAAGCACUUUUGGUUGGGAGGAAGAGCAGCAAGUUAAUACCUCGCUGUUUUGACGGUACCAACAGAAUAAGCACCGGCUAACUUCGUG